UACGUAGGGGGCAAGCGUUGUCCGGAUUUAUUGGGCGUAAAGAGCUCGUAGGCGGUUCGAUAAGUCGGGUGUGAAAACUCUGGGCUCAACUCAGAGACGCCACCCGAUACUGUUGUGACUUGAGUCCGGUAGGGGAGUAUGGAAUUCCCGGUGUAGCGGUGAAAUGCGCAGAUAUCGGGAGGAACACCAGUGGCGAAGGCGGUACUCUGGGCCGGAACUGACGCUGAGGAGCGAAAGCGUGGGUAGCGAACAGG
RNAcentral lists this ribosomal RNA (254 nucleotides) under uncultured bacterium. RNAcentral's name for it is "partial 16S ribosomal RNA". It matches the Rfam family "Bacterial small subunit ribosomal RNA", at positions 524 to 776 of the family's 1533-position model. The record is from RNAcentral.